Long non-coding RNA from Gallus gallus (chicken), 370 nucleotides. NCBI's taxonomy places the organism in Eukaryota, Metazoa, Chordata, Aves, Galliformes, Phasianidae. The record is from Ensembl.
CACAUCUGGACAUUUUUGGCACCUACUGUUGACUGCGCAGGUCUGGAGAAUCACCAGGAAUAAAAUGAUGAAAGAGAUGCCAUUAAGAAGUUGCUGUCCGUAACAUGCGAUGAGUGCUCCUACAUCCAACACCAGUACCAAUGGAAGAGAGAGAGCUGCAGAUCUGCAAACAGGACAGAAAGAGCCCCAAAGGGAAAAGUCUGCUCAGCAAACUUUCUGAUGAGCCCUUGAAGCUACAGCCUCACAGUGUGUGCUGGAAAAGGUUAUGGAUCUAGCGAGUGCAAACGGAAGGCAGGAUGAAAAGGUCAGAUGUUCUGUUCUCUUCGUAAUGGAUUGACCGGGGACAUGUUUUUAUCUUUCGUGCAACCGC